UACGUAGGGUGCGAGCGUUGUCCGGAAUUAUUGGGCGUAAAGAGCUCGUAGGCGGUUUGUCACGUCGGAUGUGAAAUCCCGGGGCUUAACUCCGGGUCUGCAUUCGAUACGGGCUGACUAGAGUUCGGCAGGGGAGACUGGAAUUCCUGGUGUAGCGGUGAAAUGCGCAGAUAUCAGGAGGAACACCGGUGGCGAAGGCGGGUCUCUGGGCCGAUACUGACGCUGAGGAGCGAAAGCGUGGGGAGCGAACAGG
RNAcentral lists this ribosomal RNA (253 nucleotides) under uncultured bacterium. RNAcentral describes it as "partial 16S ribosomal RNA". It matches the Rfam family "Bacterial small subunit ribosomal RNA", at positions 524 to 776 of the family's 1533-position model. The record is from RNAcentral.